This 157-nucleotide ribosomal RNA is filed under the name Alexandrium margalefii. Its description in RNAcentral is "partial Bacterial large subunit ribosomal RNA". It matches the Rfam family "Bacterial large subunit ribosomal RNA", at positions 1 to 171 of the family's 2925-position model. Lineage: Eukaryota; Dinophyceae; Gonyaulacales; Pyrocystaceae. The record is from RNAcentral.
UCUUAAGGGCAUUUGGUGGAUGCCUCGGUGUCGAGAGGCGAUGAAGGACGUGGCACUCUGCGAUAAGCCGCGGGGAGAUGAGAGCGAUCUUUGAUCCGCGGAUUUCCGAAUGGGGAAACCCGACCCUUUAGGGUCAUCGUACGGUGAAUUCAUAGCC